UACGAAGGGGGCUAGCGUUGUUCGGAAUUACUGGGCGUAAAGCGCACGUAGGCGGACUUGUAAGUAGGGGGUGAAAUCCCCGGGCUCAACCCGGGAACUGCCUUCUAGACUGCAAGCCUGGAGGUCAGGAGAGGCGAGUGGAAUACCGAGUGUAGAGGUGAAAUUCGUAGAUAUUCGGUGGAACACCAGUGGCGAAGGCGACUCGCUGGACUGAUACUGACGCUGAGGUGCGAAAGCGUGGGGAGCAAACAGG
Molecule: ribosomal RNA, 253 nt
Filed under: uncultured bacterium
Lineage: Bacteria
Description: partial 16S ribosomal RNA
Rfam family: Bacterial small subunit ribosomal RNA
Source: RNAcentral